This is a long non-coding RNA of Scylla paramamosain (green mud crab), 2498 nucleotides long. RefSeq lists it as uncharacterized. NCBI's taxonomy places the organism in Eukaryota, Metazoa, Arthropoda, Malacostraca, Decapoda, Portunidae. The record is from RefSeq and is a predicted model, not a curated record. The transcript is spliced from 5 exons.
ACCACGGCUGGAGGACUUCCUGGAAAGGGUCAAAGGGACAGAGAGCGUCUCCUGGAAGGGUCUCGCCUCGGUCACUGCAGAGGAACCCGAAGGAGGAGGCUAAGGAGGAGAGAGGAAGGAUGAAGCAGAAGGAGGGAUGAAGGAGGAGAGGAGAGGAAUACCAGAGUUGAUCAAAGGACUUAAAGCAAAGGAACGUAAUGUUUUAGAAGAAUUCCGAAGGAGGAGAGAAGGAGGAAGUGAGGAGAUGAGGGGAAGAAGUGGAGAAGAAGAGGAGGAAAGGAGAUGUGAGAAAAGAUGCAGAGGAAGGCGUGGGAAGAAGAGAGGAGAGGAGAAAGAUGAAGAGAUGAUUGAGAGGUUCACAACAAGGCACUGGACGCCACACGAACCCGCUCGCAUGAGACUCCAACCCUGAACCCUCGAACCCCAGCGCGGGCCAAUCACUUCUCGACAUUCCACCACCAGAUCCUGCGGGCCAAUAGGAGUCGAGUUCACCUCCUUGUGCCCGCGUGGCGCUCAUUACAGGGAAGAAAGGGAAGCGAGGAGCACGUGUGAGAGACCCACGCUUACCACACCACCUUAAUGAGUCGCUUCUAGAAGGCUGCAAGAUUCAGUACUGCGUCUCCCUUCACUUCAAACCCCCUGCAAGUACGCCAGACUACGUGAACUUGGCUUAAAUACCCUGCAAAAAACUAUGAAACCCCUGUAUUUGACUUAGACACCCCUGCACGUGACUUAGGCCCUGGACAGCGUGUCAUGGUGCCCUUGAGGUGACCUGACCCUCACUCCCUUCCAGCCCCCUUCACCGCUGCCUGUGCCUCUGCCUCUGCCUCCUCCAGGUGCUCGCCGCGGCCCAUCGAGUCACUCGGCACAGGUCAACAGGUGAUGGCGCGGCGGUAGUGAAUGGACAGGUAGUGUAACGUUCAAUCUAUUCUUUUGGGAAUCCAGCAGGUCAUUUCCUGGUCGUGCUUUCACCUGCCUGCGAUCUACCUGUGUCUACCUGUCCUGGCUACCUGGCCGUGUCUACACCUGCCCACACUGUACCUGCUCGUGUCUACCUGUCCGCUUUACCUGUGUGACGCGCGGCCAAUCAGCAGGCGGGGUGUGGGUGUGAUCCGCGCUAAUCCAGCGCGGGCCUGUUUUGAUUAGGCCUGGGAUUAAUUUCCGAAUUUAUCUUAUUGAUGGAAAUAUUAAUCAGUAAUUAUUCAUGAAGUAAUGAGAGGCAAAUUAACUGCACGGAAAAUGUAUGUUAGUGGUGGGCUGUUUUUCAGUUUUUUUGUUUUUGGGGGGAGGGGAGGUUUUUUUAUAUAGCAUGUUAAAUUAUUCGAAACCUACAGUUAUUCGAAACCUACAUAAGUGUUUGAAAUAUCUGUUAAAUGUUUGUUGCUGCUGUGUUGGCUGAAUGGAUGUUUCCAGUUAAAUGUUUGUUGCUGCUGUGUUGGCUGAAUGGAUGUUUGGAGCGGUUUUCUUUGUUGAAUGUUUGUUGCUGUUUGGAAUAUUAGCUGCUGCGUUUGUUUUAAUGAUUCUUGCUUUGCUAAAUGUCUGGUACCCCUUCCCUCUUCUUCCUUCCUCUACAGUAUACAUCCUCCUCCACCGUCCUACUGAAGGGAAUGGUGUCGAAAAGCCGGACUGUCUGAUGGAGGUGAGCUUGGUAGUGGUGCGUGGGAGGGGGAUAAGGAGAGAGGAAGAGGAGAAAGGCAAAGGGGGAGAAGGGCAGGGAGGGAAGGAAGGAAGGGAGGGAGGGAGGGAGGAGGAAGAGGGAGAUAGGAGGGAGAGGGGGGAAGGAAAUAAAAAAUAAAAGGUAAAAGGGAAAGAAGGGAAAGGAAAAGGAGACGAAGUAAGGGAAGAGAAGGAAAAGGAGGCGAAAGGCAAUAGGAAUGCAAGGAAGAAGAAAAGGAGGCGAAAGCGAAUAGAAAGGUGAAGUAGCGAUGAGAGAAGAGAAGGAAAAACUACGCAAAAAAAAAUAAGAGGCAGAGGAGAUAUGGGAGAAGAGAAUGGAAAAUUAAGGAAAGGAAAAGAGAAGAGGGACGGGACGGGACAAAGGGAGCAACACGCCGGUGAGUCUCCAGAGGGAUUACAGUAAUUACAUUUUGGGCCUGAUUGAAUUUACUGCGUCAUGUUCUGCUCUCAGGAUUUUUUAACGUGUGUUAGCAAAGUGUUGUUGUUGACAUCGACGAAACCAUAAUUCUUGGGUAUUUUCUGCGUCGAGUUCAUGAGGGUUUUGUUAAAUAUUUUAGUAUGGAAGCCUCUUAAAAAUCAAGAUGUCUGGUAAUUGCAGUUUUUUUCGAUUUGUUAGGUUCAAAUAACUGGAGUUCGUUUUCUUUAAUUUAUUCUGGUUUCUUAGUCUUCGCUUUAGAUUACAAUCAUCAAAGUCUACUUAUUAGAUUCAAGGAUAUUUAAUUUCCUUUUAUUUAUUCAACUUUCGAUUUUUUUUCUCUAUUAGAAUUAUAGAACAUCAAAGCGGGUUUAUUAGGAAAUUCAAAUAACUUUAUCUUAUUUUA